This 142-nucleotide ribosomal RNA is filed under the name Trametes warnieri. Its description in RNAcentral is "partial 28S ribosomal RNA". It matches the Rfam family "Eukaryotic large subunit ribosomal RNA", at positions 1 to 142 of the family's 3401-position model. Lineage: Eukaryota; Fungi; Basidiomycota; Agaricomycetes; Polyporales; Polyporaceae. The record is from RNAcentral.
GACCUCAAAUCAGGUAGGACUACCCGCUGAACUUAAGCAUAUCAAUAAGCGGAGGAAAAGAAACUAACAAGGAUUCCCCUAGUAACUGCGAGUGAAGCGGGAAAAGCUCAAAUUUAAAAUCUGGCGGUCUUUGGCCGUCCGA